UAAAGUUUUAGUGUAUGUUUGUUCGGCACAUAACAAGUUUACAAAUAUGAAUACAUUUAUUUUAGAAGUAGGAAGCACACGGUUCUCGUUGCUCUUAUAUUGGCAAUUCAACACAAAUAAAGAACUGUUUAUGAAGUGAAUAAUACUAUCUCUACUCGUCUGGAGUGGAAUAAUAUUGUCGAUACAUCGGGUGUUGUACUAUAGCUGGACGUUUUGGAAGCAUGGAAGAAUUGAUUGUUGGAGGGGUGAUAGGAGGGAUAAUAUGUAUACUCAUAGUAUUAUUCAUGAUUAUUUGUUUCUGUUUGCAAUCUGAGGAACGCCGUAACAGAAUCAGACAUAUAAAUAUACAACCAGCAAACGAUAUCUUUAUCAGAAUACACCAAACAAGGUAUCCCCCACGAGGACCACCACCGGCGUACCCGGGAAGAUAACACAAAUUAAAGGCAAUAACAAUAGUAUGUUCCACGAGGAAAACCACCGGCUUACACGGGGAGAUAACAUAAUUUAAAGGCAAUAAUGAAAGUAUUGUCCACGAGAACCACCACCGGCGUACUCGGGGAAUAACAUAAAUUGAGGGCAAUAACAGUGGUUUACUCCAGGACCACCACCAGCGUACCCAGGAUGAUAACAUAAAUAAAAGACAAUAACAAUGGUAUACUUCACGAGGACAACAACCGCCGUAAAAGAAGAGAUAACAUAA
Long non-coding RNA from Mytilus trossulus (common blue mussel), 700 nucleotides. RefSeq lists it as uncharacterized. NCBI's taxonomy places the organism in Eukaryota, Metazoa, Mollusca, Bivalvia, Mytilida, Mytilidae. The transcript is spliced from 3 exons. The record is from RefSeq and is a predicted model, not a curated record.